RNAcentral lists this transfer RNA (79 nucleotides) under bacterium. RNAcentral describes it as "tRNA-Glu". It matches the Rfam family "tRNA". Rfam says of the family: Transfer RNA (tRNA) molecules are approximately 80 nucleotides in length. Their secondary structure includes four short double-helical elements and three loops (D, anti-codon, and T loops). The record is from RNAcentral.
GACCCUGUCGUCUAGUCAGGACCAGGACGCCACCCUUUCAAGGUGGAGAUCGCGGGUUCAAAUCCCGCCAGGGUCGCCA